Molecule: ribosomal RNA, 110 nt
Filed under: Thalictrum steyermarkii
Lineage: Eukaryota; Viridiplantae; Streptophyta; Magnoliopsida; Ranunculales; Ranunculaceae
Description: partial 18S ribosomal RNA
Rfam family: Eukaryotic small subunit ribosomal RNA
Source: RNAcentral
UGGGCGGUUCGCCGCCAGCGACGUCGCGAGAAGUCCAUUGAACCUUAUCAUUUAGAGGAAGGAGAAGUCGUAACAAGGUUUCCGUAGGUGAACCUGCGGAAGGAUCAUUG